CCGUCACAACGGCUUCCUGACGUGACGGAAAAUUAUCAGUGGAGCA
Molecule: non-coding RNA, 46 nt
Filed under: unclassified sequences
Description: SAM-SAH-Weickhmann-2018 RNA
Rfam family: SAM/SAH riboswitch aptamer
Source: RNAcentral